UACGUAGGGGGCAAGCGUUGUCCGGAUUUAUUGGGCGUAAAGAGCGUGUAGGCGGCUUGGUAGGUCCGCUGUGAAAACUCGAGGCUCAACCUCGAGAUGUCGGCGGAAACCACUUGGCUAGAGUCCGGAAGAGGAGACUGGAAUUCCCGGUGUAGCGGUGAAAUGUGUAGAGAUCGGGAGGAACACCGGUGGCGAAGGCGGGUCUCUGGGCAACUCCUGACGCUGAGGCGCGAAAGCGUGGGGAGCAAACGGG
Molecule: ribosomal RNA, 253 nt
Filed under: uncultured bacterium
Lineage: Bacteria
Description: partial 16S ribosomal RNA
Rfam family: Bacterial small subunit ribosomal RNA
Source: RNAcentral